ACCCUUGUGGAGGAGGACGCCGAAGGUGGGGCUAAUGACUGGGGUGAAGUCGUAACAAGGUAGCCGUACCGGAAGGUGCGGCUGGAUCACCUCCUAACAGGGAGACAACAAAAUGUUUAAUAUUAUUAUUUUGUCACCUUAGGUCGAUCGGUAUCUCACGUUUUUAAUUUAUUAAGAAUUUCAUUUCCUAAGUUUUUCUAGGUCACACCCAUAUUUUUCCUGGGCCAUUAGCUCAGGUGGUUAGAGCGCACCCCUGAUAAGGGUGAGGUCCCUGGUUCAAGUCCAGGAUGGCCCAUAUCUCUAUGUUGGGGGUAUAGCUCAGUUGGUAGAGCGCCUGCUUUGCAAGCAGGAUGUCAGCGGUUCGAGUCCGCUUACCUCCACUGAUUACCACCUCUUCCAUAAACGGUAGAAAGGAAAUUUUUUGAGUUGUGACCAAAUUCUGAAAGAAUCUAGCUUCCUAAUGCAAUCAUUAAGAUGCUGGACUCAUUGAAUUAAUUUCAUUGUUUUCAGAGAACCUUGACAACUGCAUAGAUUAUUUUUAAAGACAAUAAGCAUCUUUAAUGAUGCAGAUUUAUUAUUUGUGCGAAUGCAUUAAUAACAAUUCUAUUAAGCUGAUGCUUCAAUUUUGAAGUUAUUGGUCAAGCUACAAAGGGCUCACGGAGGAUACCUAGGCACACA
Molecule: unclassified non-coding RNA, 678 nt
Filed under: uncultured Prochlorococcus sp.
Lineage: Bacteria; Bacillati; Cyanobacteriota; Cyanophyceae; Synechococcales; Prochlorococcaceae
Description: partial may contain 16S ribosomal RNA, 16S-23S ribosomal RNA intergenic spacer, and 23S ribosomal RNA
Rfam family: Bacterial small subunit ribosomal RNA (bases 1-97)
Source: RNAcentral